This is an RNA transcript of Zalophus californianus (California sea lion), 5059 nucleotides long. It is a transcript of the gene named zinc finger DHHC-type palmitoyltransferase 15, with no coding region annotated. The transcript has 13 exons. Lineage: Eukaryota; Metazoa; Chordata; Mammalia; Carnivora; Otariidae. The record is from RefSeq and is a predicted model, not a curated record.
AUGCGGCGGGGCUGGAAGAUGGCUCUGUCCGGGGGGCUGCGAUGCUGCCGCCGAGUACUUUCCUGGGUGCCAGUGCUUGUUAUCGUCCUCGUUGUGCUUUGGUCCUACUAUGCCUACGUCUUUGAACUCUGCCUGGUGACUGUUUUGAGCCCAACAGAAAAAGUUAUCUACCUCAUAUUUUACCAUGCCAUCUUUGUGUUCUUUACCUGGACCUACUGGAAGUCUAUAUUUACACUCCCACAACAGCCAAAUCAAAAGUUCCACUUGUCCUAUUCAGACAAGGAACGCUAUGAAAAUGAAGAGAGACCUGAGGUCCAGAAGCAGAUGCUCAUCGAUAUGGCCAAAAAGCUACCAGUUUACACAAGAACUGGGAGUGGAGCUGUUAGAUUCUGUGACCGGUGCCAUUUGAUCAAGCCUGAUCGCUGCCACCACUGCUCUGUCUGUGCCAUGUGUGUAUUAAAAAUGGACCAUCACUGCCCUUGGGUUAAUAAUUGCAUUGGAUUUUCCAACUACAAAUUCUUUCUUCAGUUCUUAGCUUAUUCUGUUCUCUACUGCCUGUACAUUGCUACAACAGUCUUCAACUAUUUCAUCAAAUACUGGAGAGGGGAAUUGCCCAGUGUUCGCUCAAAGUUCCAUGUUCUUUUCCUCCUCUUUGUGGCCUGCAUGUUUUUUGUCAGCCUUGUGAUUCUCUUUGGUUACCAUUGUUGGCUCGUCAGCAGAAACAAAACCACCUUAGAGGCCUUCUGUACUCCAGUGUUUACAAGUGGCCCAGAGAAAAAUGGGUUCAACCUUGGCUUCAUCAAAAAUAUCCAGCAGGUGUUUGGAGAUAACAAGAAGUUCUGGUUAAUACCUAUUGGGUCCAGCCCUGGUGAUGGACACUCCUUCCCUAUGAGGUCUAUGAAUGAAUCACAAAACCCACUGCUAGCAAAUGAAGAGCCCUGGGAAGACAACGAGGAUGAAAACCGAGGUUUUUUGUGCAGGUUUUGUGCAUGAUGUGAGGAAAAUGUUGUUUUAGGAAGAUGAUGAAGUGAUACUCCUAUCGAAGCACACUUCCAUCCUAUGUCAGAGAUUGCCCUAAUUUCUGGACCUUCUGAGAGAAUUGAUUAUCCAGAAGCUUCAUCAUCUCUCACCGUGGAAACAGAAACAUAGCAGUUUACACAUUUCCUGCAUCUCUCAGGACCCUCCAUCUCCCAUGAGGCUUACAGAGUUCAAUGUUGGGAACCAUUUUAAUCUUCAAAAUAAGUCACCAUGGUGGAUUGAAAGCUUCACAAUUUAAAAGCAUUCCAUUAAAUACUUGCUGUGCAGAUAGAUGUUUCAGGACUUUACAAGUUAUUUAAUUUACUAACUGAACUCAUCAAUCUGGUAGCAAUUAAUUCAAGCCAGUCUUCCUCUCUUUCUUCAUUUUACCUCCCAAUCUGUAAAAACCUAAAUGUAACAUAUAUACCUUUCCAGGGGCUCUUUUUAUUCCUCUUCUCAGGUAUAGAGGAAUUAAAAAAACUUCCAUGGAGUCUCUAACUCCCCUAGAAAGAUUGUUAAUUAUAUUUAUAGGGUCUUUGUGGUAUUAAGGGAAAUCAGACUGCUGCUUGUGUGCCUGUGCAUUUAUAAGCACGCAUAUAUGCAGCAUAUUUACACAAAAUUCUGCUGUGGUGUUGUGAAAAUCAAGGUUAAAAAAAUCCAAGGUUUUUAUUCAAUCCUGCUUUUCUCCCUAAAUAGCAAUUUAAAUACUUGCUCGGCUGUCAACACCAUCCCUAUAUCAGAUAUUUAAAAGUCAAGAGGCAUAAUCAACACACCAUAAUCGAGGUCCUCAAAUUGGAAAUUGAACAAUACAAAGCCUGUUCUCUGUCAUAAAUGUGUGAUGUUCCUGAAAGCACCACAACUAAUAGAGAAGAUCAGAUCAGAUUUCCACUUUAUUAAACAUUAAGUAUUGGUGUUUUAAAGACUUUUAAUGUCAGGCUGUAGUAAAAUUCUCCACUUUUAUUAUUUUCUCUGCUACCUAGCUUUAUUUUUACCUAUAUUAAUUGUUCUUAUGAUGAUAGAAAAACCAUAACCCUAAGUUAUGCACCAUAGGUUUUGUUAAGGAGCUUAAGGGUCAUUUUCAGGUUUAAUUACAAUACUGUUCAUAUGGUAAAGUUUCAAAGUUGAAAUUGGCCUAAGGAUUAGCACUCAAGCUAUGUUUUCACAGCAGGGUUUAGUGUAUAGAUAAUGAUAACCUAAUAGUAAUAUGCCAAUACUUUCUUUUUCUUUUCUUCUUUCUAGCUUCAGUGGUAGUUCAGCCAUUAAGACAGUUUACAUUCAUUUCCCCAUUUAUUUAUAAUCAGCCUUUCUUUUAGUCCUAGUGCCUGAAUCAAUGAGUAUGAACACUAAUGCUGAGUCUUUAUAAUAAUAAUACCUAAGAGCAGUGAUGAUUUUCAUUUCUCAGCCACUGUCCUAGUGCCCAGCUGCCAGCAAUAGAAGUCCCAACUCUUACAGAAAUUAUUGAGAGUUAGAGGCAUCUUACAGAUGUCAAGGAGUUGAACUCCUAGAAGGACAUUAGGUUUACUAAGUCAUCCCCCCUAAAACCUUUCUUAGUAAAAGAAAAUUUGCCUACCACAAACUAUUUGGUGUUCAGGUUCCAGUGGAGCUGAGAAAGUGAGCAAUUCAGCUACUUAAAAAACAAAAAACUUGUUUAUUUGGAUCCUCUAGGUGAUUUGGGGCCAGGUGAGACUUUUAGCAUAAAUUAAAUGGAUUGUGCCAGCAUUUCAUUUGAGAAAAUAACUAGACAUGACAAAAUCUAUUAGGGCCAGGGACUGUUUCUCAAACUAAGAUGCUAAGAAGCAACAUAGAAGACUAUACACACCGGGUUUCACAAAUGAAAUCGUGUAUGUUCAGUUGGGAAGAUUUUUCCCCUUCCUCCCUCUCUCUCCAAAACACUCUCUUGUUUAGGUUUUUCUUGAAAGCUUAUUUAGGAAUUCACAUGGUCUUAUGAUGGACAAACCUUGCCUUUUAUUCAUAUAGUAAAGCACCUUUCUCUAAAAAAUAGGGCCAUUACUUAACUCCACAGCCAGUGGGCCUCAAAGAAAUCUUUCCCUUUCUCAUCUAUCAUUUUUUGCCAAGGGUUUAGGCAGGGUAGCUUCUAACUAUGAUUCAAAGUCAGGAAGGAAUCAAUAAAUUCUUUGAUGCAUAGAGUGUAUCAGCACUUGGCACUGAAAUAAAUCAGGUUAUAAAAGACAGUGUCAGAAAACUACAGGGAAGCACUGGAAGGAUAAAGCCCGGGAGAGCUAUAAUGCAAAGCUGAUUGUUUCAUGUCUUACAGACUUACACCAUCUUCAAAAGGCCAAAUAAAUCAGAGUUUCAAGUGGGGGCUUGGAGAAAUAAACCCUAUUCCUAUCUCAGCACCUUUAUUACACUAGUUUAUAGACUCUGAUAAUACCCCUAUCCAUACAUAAUUCAGUACUGACUACUGUACAUAAGCAUCCUGCCCCAAUUGAUUGACUAUUGAUUGACAGAGAGGUUCAUUUAAUAAUUAGUGUAUCCUGAUCUGGCUCCAUUGCCUGUUUUCCUUGGAGCCCUGUCAAAUAACCUCUGUGGGAUCUCAUUCCCCAAUUUUUGGUACCCAUAUUCCCCUUUUGCAAAAUAAAACACUCAUUGUUAGGAUCCUACAACUGAAAGGUGCUAUGUAACUCCCUAGUGCUCUUAUAAGUCUUUCAUUGAAGGACUGGAGUGAAAACUUGAACCAUAACAGUAUUUCUAAGCAAACCAGUGUGCUCCAUUCUUACUUCCAUGCUCUCAUUGCUGACUUGUUCUUGCAGAGUUCAGAUUACUUUAUUUAAGUUAUUCAGUUCAUUCCAACAAUGUCCUUAGAAUAGAAAUCAUUUUCCCCAUGGUACAUCUGGAAAAAUUGAGGCAAAAAAAAAAAAAUGAAGUGGCUUUCAAAAGCACAUAGCUGUCUGGAGCAGACCUCAGUUAUCAUGUCCAGUGCACUAUUAGACUGACUUGGCUUCCCAGUACUGGAAAUAUUGGGGAACAACUUAGAAUAUUGAGAUUAAUUCAGGCAGGAUCACAUUUCAGAAAAGCUCCAAUUCAUCCAAAAUCUAAAAGUAUGCAAUUAAACAACUCUUAUUUUCUAUGUGACAUAAAUGUAACAUGUGUCUCUUUCCCACACGGGUCCCAUGUAACACAUCUAUUUCACACUGUGUGACAUCAGCCAGUGCCAUUAUCUCCUUUAGUACCCAUAGAGCCCAAUCUCAGGGCUGUCUUUGCCAGGGAAAAGAAUGUGCUUCCCCAUGUUUAUGCCAAAUUGCACAAAAGUAUUGUCAUUGAGGUUAAUGGAGAUUAAGCACAAUCCCAAGCAGGUAUGUUUUAAGAAUAUUGAAUGUACAUUAUUGUGACAUGCACCUGAAAUUUAACAUGGCCCCAAUUCAUAGGAUGUAACAGUCAUGCAAAGCCUAUCCCUUUUACUUCUCAUCACACAUAUAUAUCUACAUACAUGUGUGCAUACACAUAUGUACACUACACACUGCCCCCAAAGUAGGCCGCUUGGUCAUCAGGAGCAAGUACUUUAAAGGAAUAAUUCUUUGUCCUCUUUUAGAAAAAGUCCAACACUCACUGCAAGUGAAGAACACUCCAUUUAUUCAUUCUAAAACCUCUACUCCCAGAGUAGCUAUGGUACCAGUUGGUGCAAAAGACAAGAUUGUUAAACCCUUUCACAAGUCCGUGUUCACAAAUGGAAAAUUUAUGCAUUCCAUCCAAUCAGUAGGAAAUGGCUUAUGAGGUAUGGCACAUCUGCAUUUCUUUAACUUUAGCUGUAAGGUACCAUAUUAAGUUGUAGUCUUUUGAAUGCAGGGGUUAUGUAAUAUAAUAAUGAACAGGUGGCUCCUAAUAGCAUGCAACCAACAGCUGUUUGUUUCCCCAGAAGGGCUAGGGCUGUGUCCUGCACAGUGUUUAAAACUAUUAAAUUUGUUCUUUGUAGCAGGCUGGUAUGUGGCCAUUAGCAGAAUGAGUUAAAAUGGACAAUGAAUGCAGUAUAUCAGGAAACAGAUUUUUAGUAGGGAAUGGCAUUGAAUGCGGAAAAAAAAAAAAA